Molecule: ribosomal RNA, 254 nt
Filed under: uncultured bacterium
Lineage: Bacteria
Description: partial 16S ribosomal RNA
Rfam family: Bacterial small subunit ribosomal RNA
Source: RNAcentral
UACGGGGGGGGGCAAGCGUUGUUCGGAAUUACUGGGCGUAAAGGGCUCGUAGGUGGCCAACUAAGUCAGACGUGAAAUCCCUCGGCUUAACCGGGGAACUGCGUCUGAUACUGGAUGGCUGGAGUAUGGGAGAGGGAUGCGGAAUUCCAGGUGUAGCGGUGAAAUGCGUAGAUAUCUGGAGGAACACCGGUGGCGAAGGCGGCAUCCUGGACCAUUACUGACGCUGAGGAGCGAAAGCCAGGGGAGCAAACGGG